ACUGGCUCAGGAUGAACGCUGGCGGCGUGCUUAACACAUGCAAGUCGAACGAAGCAACUAUCUUGCUUGCAAGAAGUUGACUUAGUGGCGGACGGGUGAGUAACGCGUGGGUAACCUGCCUCAUACAGGGGGAUAACAGUUGGAAACGACUGCUAAGACCGCAUAACCCGCUAGUGUCGCAUGACACGGACGGAAAAUAUUUAUAGGUAUGAGAUGGGCCCGCGUCUGAUUAGCUAGUUGGUAAGGUAACGGCUUACCAAGGCGACGAUCAGUAGCCGACUUGAGAGAGUGAUCGGCCACAUUGGGACUGAGACACGGCCCAAACUCCUACGGGAGGCAGCAGUGGGGAAUAUUGGACAAUGGGGGAAACCCUGAUCCAGCGAACCGCCGCGUGAGUGAAGAAGUAUUUCGGUAUGUAAAGCUCUAUCAGCAGGGAAGAUAAUGACAGUACCUGACUAAGAAGCCCCGGCUAACUACGUGCCAGCAGCCGC
This 491-nucleotide ribosomal RNA is filed under the name uncultured bacterium. Its description in RNAcentral is "bacterial SSU rRNA". It matches the Rfam family "Bacterial small subunit ribosomal RNA", at positions 18 to 518 of the family's 1533-position model. The record is from RNAcentral.